Molecule: ribosomal RNA, 253 nt
Filed under: uncultured bacterium
Lineage: Bacteria
Description: partial 16S ribosomal RNA
Rfam family: Bacterial small subunit ribosomal RNA
Source: RNAcentral
UACGUAGGGCGCAAGCGUUGUCCGGAAUUAUUGGGCGUAAAGAGCUCGUAGGCGGUCUGUCGCGUCCGUUGUGAAAACUCGAGGCUCAACCUCGGGCUUGCAGUGGAUACGGGCAGACUAGAGUGCGGUAGGGGAGACUGGAAUUCCUGGUGUAGCGGUGGAAUGCGCAGAUAUCAGGAGGAACACCGAUGGCGAAGGCAGGUCUCUGGGCCGCAACUGACGCUGAGGAGCGAAAGCCAGGGGAGCAAGCGGG